RNAcentral lists this ribosomal RNA (465 nucleotides) under Vreelandella stevensii. RNAcentral's name for it is "partial 16S ribosomal RNA". It matches the Rfam family "Bacterial small subunit ribosomal RNA", at positions 338 to 795 of the family's 1533-position model. The record is from RNAcentral. Lineage: Bacteria; Pseudomonadati; Pseudomonadota; Gammaproteobacteria; Oceanospirillales; Halomonadaceae.
CCUACGGGUGGCUGCAGUGGGGAAUAUUGGACAAUGGGCGAAAGCCUGAUCCAGCCAUGCCGCGUGUGUGAAGAAGGCCUUCGGGUUGUAAAGCACUUUCAGUGGGGAAGAAAGCCUUGGGGCUAAUACCCUCGAGGAAGGACAUCACCCACAGAAGAAGCACCGGCUAACUCCGUGCCAGCAGCCGCGGUAAUACGGAGGGUGCGAGCGUUAAUCGGAAUUACUGGGCGUAAAGCGCGCGUAGGCGGUCUGAUAAGCCGGUUGUGAAAGCCCCGGGCUCAACCUGGGAACGGCAUCCGGAACUGUCAUGCUAGAGUGCAGGAGAGGAAGGUAGAAUUCCCGGUGUAGCGGUGAAAUGCGUAGAGAUCGGGAGGAAUACCAGUGGCGAAGGCGGCCUUCUGGACUGACACUGACGCUGAGGUGCGAAAGCGUGGGUAGCAAACAGGAUUAGAUACCCGAGUAGUC